RNAcentral lists this long non-coding RNA (2826 nucleotides) under Malus domestica (apple). RNAcentral describes it as "long non-coding RNA (MDOM_LNC007599)". Lineage: Eukaryota; Viridiplantae; Streptophyta; Magnoliopsida; Rosales; Rosaceae. The record is from RNAcentral.
CAAAAGUCACGGAAUCAAGCUAGAAAAAUUCCACAAAAUUCGGCCAAGCUUGAAACUCAUGAUCCCGACGUCCAAUUUCACCCAAUGAACCACUCCGAGCUUCCUUAGGACCUCCUAAAGCUUCCUAUAAGCUUCAAAUUCCCUGAAAAACAAUAUUUCACGUAUGCAUGAAUAGUGACAACAUCGGUGGUUCAUGAUUCAACGUGAAAUCGAAGGAUUCCUUACCUAUAAAUGGUACCAAUUGAUUCGUCUGAGAUUCAUGAACACAAUGGUUCCCUUUUCCACUUCGAUCCAUCACGUUUACAAGGGUUUUGGCUCUCGUCCAUACAAGAGAGAAGAGAGAGAGAGUGUGUGUGUGUGAGUCUGAGAGAGAGGGCACGGGAGUGAGAGAGAGAAAGUGAGGUGUAGUGUGUGGUCCAAAAGUCACCAAUCAAAACAAACAAUUCUCCAACUUCCAUUUCGGUCCAAAAACUUAGGAAUUAAACAUAUUAGUCUAAUUUCCAACUUAAACCACAUAUCAUAAAACGUCCAAGGGCAAACUCGUCUUUUCACACCAACGAUAAUUAUUUCUUGGGACGGGUUGUCACAGCUUCAAUAUGAGGAUUUAGGUGUUUAUGAUUGUAAAAAAUAAUUGGAUGAAGAUAUACUUGUCAGAAGAAUUAGAAAGUACCUAUGUUGAUGCAGAUAUGUGUACAUGUCUGAGCGUCAAAGAAUCCAAAAGAAAUGCAUAAAUAUGUUGUUGAGACUCUGUAUAAUGAUAAUUAGGCUUGAAUAAAUAAUAGAGAUGACGAAAGAUGCUCUAAGAGAAGGGAUAAAUUUUGGUUGUCUGUCAGCUAGUUUGAUGAAGAUAUGGUGAGUUUUGGGAAUCAAAUUAAGAUGGAGAAGGGAGCAAAUGUAUUAAUAAUAUCGUUUGUACAUAAGGAGAGUAAUUUUCAGUGGGUAAGCUUAAUGUUAUGAAGAAAAAUAAUUGAGGAGCUGAGGAUUUUAAAAAAAAUGCAGCCGAUCAAGAAUGGAUGAUGAAUACAAUUGAUGUUAAGCUUUUGAACAAGUAUUGCAUUGAUGGAAAUUGAUGGUAUUAUCCCUAGAAGAAAUAAAAGCUUAUUUUUGAGGAUGCUUGGUGAUGAAAAUACUAGCAAAUGAGCUAAAGGAAAUAAAAAUCACAAAUAUACACUUUUGGUGAUAUAUGUAUAAAGAAAAGGUGAAAGACAAUAGAUAAAAGGAAGGUAAGAGUGCCAUAAUUUGGUAAUUUCAAAUUUCAUAGGGUUGAAUAAGAGAUUGGCCUGUUAAAUUUGGACGCUGCUACUUGACUGGGGUUGAAAUUACUGGAAUGAGAUUUGAGAUUAUGUUGUCUUGUGGUAGAAUUCAAAUAGAAGAAAAAGAAUUAAGUUAUUCAUACACGUAAAGACUAGCCCUGACCCGGGACGAGUACCAACACCAAUGUAGAACAUGAUGAGAAAAUAACAUAAAUAUGAUCUUGCAGUAGUAAAUUGAUAAUUCUAGUCGACAUAAUAUUAUUCAUGGUCCUAAAUAUAAUUAAGGCAUCCCAUAAUAGUACGCAUACCUAUGCAUCCCGUAGGAUUCAGAAUAAUUUCAUAAUUCUCAACAUUACGACAUUUCUUAUAAAUGUUAAAUUAAUUAUAGAAUCACGUAGAAAAUGCAUUAUAUAUAUUUAUAUGUAUGUGUGUGUGUGUGGAAACUAAACAAAUAUAUAUACAAUAUAAAAGAAAACACUCACUCACAAAUACUUUCAAGGUCACAACCUUUCGAACUAGGAAAAUCGAAGUCUCCGAUAGUAAUCGCACCUAAGUAUAAUAUUGGGACCCAUUAGUAAAACUCAACUAAAAUGAUUAAAUUUGGGAAAAUGGAGCGCAUAUUUGUAAUCAAAACGUGGAAAUACCUUAAGGAGGGUCCCGGGUAAAUUUUAUAAAAAGUCAACAGAAAGUCAAUGGUCAACCAAAAAGUUAAUCGAGCCACCUCAGCAGUCAACUACCUUAAAACUUUGAAAUUUCACUAAAUAGAUGCCAAAAAUGGACUCCGGUAAUUGAAAUUAGCCUAGGAGGGUUUCCGAAUUUUUUUUGAAAAAGUCGACUAACGGUCAACAAUUAACUUUAACGAAAUAUUUCAUCCUCAGAUAGAAUAUUUUGUUAAAGUUAACUGGGAAUUAACAAAAUAUUCCAAGGGAAUAUUCCCUCAAGAUUUCUAAAUAGGUUUGGGUCAGCUGGGUUGGAUCUGGGUUCAGAUUCGGGUUUAGGCUUUUUUUGUAUCUGGUUGGGUUGACCUAUUUAGGCUCGUGGGUUUCACCGACCAAACCCAAUGAAGAAGAAGAAGGCCGGAUUCUGAAGGGAUUUGGCCGGUAAACUUCCUGAGCUCUGUUCGAGCUCAAAUCUCAAUCAUUUUCAAUGAAACAAAAGUCAAAAUGAAGGUCAUGAGGAUAAGACUCGAAAUAUACCGAUCUAGGGUUGGGUUGUGAUCGAAGUUGGCUGGAAAUGGCCUGCAAAACUCGGGCUCCUAGCCGAAAAACUAGGGAAAAGCAUCCCUGCGUGGUUUAUGUCCCCAAACCUUACAAACACAGGCCUAUUACCUCAAAAUCUUUCACAAACGACGAAAAAUGACGAGAGAUAGGGUUCCCGAGGCCUACCUUGGUCCGAAAAUCGUGAAGUCUCGUUGGUAAAUAUGGAGGUCGAGUUCUAGGGUUCAAGUUCGCCACCUGAUUCUUGACUUCUAUAUUUGGACAUUGGUAAGCUUGAUGAGUGGUGAGGCUAGAUGGUGGUAAUGCGACUUGCCAUGGAAGUGGUGGCACAGUGAGGAUCUCCGCCUCACAGUCGU